CAGAGUUCGUGCCCUUCGGGGUAGACCUCCCACCCUGUGUAUACCGUGCCUUUGUUGCUUUGGCGGGCCGCCUUAUGGCCACCGGCUUCGGUCGGUGCGCGCCCGCCAGAGAACCCAAACCCUGUAUUAUCGUGUCGUCCGAGCACUAUAUAAUAGUUA
RNAcentral lists this unclassified non-coding RNA (159 nucleotides) under uncultured Chalara. Its description in RNAcentral is "sequence contains ITS1". The record is from RNAcentral. Lineage: Eukaryota; Fungi; Ascomycota; Leotiomycetes; Helotiales.